Molecule: unclassified non-coding RNA, 625 nt
Filed under: Hevea brasiliensis (rubber tree)
Lineage: Eukaryota; Viridiplantae; Streptophyta; Magnoliopsida; Malpighiales; Euphorbiaceae
Source: RNAcentral
GGAAUGAGAAUUCUCCACCUUUUGUGAGUUUCUCUAUUCCUCUCUGUGAUUUUUAUGUUGUUCAUAUAUACAUACACCCUAAUCCCCUCUCUCUGUUUCUUUUCCUUUGAAUAUAGCAUGUCACUGAAGCAAUAUGCUUUUUGGUUUUUGUGCUGCUCUUGGAAGCAUUUUCUUGGGAUGCUUUUAGUCUUUGAUUAACCUAAAUAGGGUUCUACACUGUUUGAUGUGUUGUUCUAAAGGUAUUGUAUUUGGUCUUGAUUGAUGCUUUGUUAAUUUUAAGGGAUUUGAUCUAGGGUUUGGCUGGUAAAAUUGAAUUUCUUGAUAAGCAUCAGAAUCUCUUAGUGUUUUGACAUUAUUUUCUAUCCGUGGAAUCUGCAUCAAAUAUACCAAUACCUUAAUAUUUCAACAUUUUUUGGUGAAAGAUAUGAUCAGUUGAUAAAAUUUUAAGAUUUUGAAGAACUAGAUAUCACAAGAAAAUGCAAAGAAAAUCUUUUUAAAAAUCUUUUUAAAAAAUAUUGGGGCUAAGAUUUAAUGAAAGUGCUGCACUUGGAGUUGCACAAAGUAGCUUUAUAAAGAGAACUAUUAUUCUAUGCAAAUCUAAGGUGCCAACUUUAAUGUCACAGGC